Macaca mulatta (Rhesus monkey) is the source of this 957-nucleotide non-coding RNA. Lineage: Eukaryota; Metazoa; Chordata; Mammalia; Primates; Cercopithecidae. The record is from RefSeq and is a predicted model, not a curated record.
AAUCACUAGGGCCCCCAUCUCCUCAUAGCAUUAUGUCCGCAGGUUCAGGCCGCACGUGGGAACACCGGCUCAGGAAACCUCCGGGACGACCGGAGGAUGCGCACAUGUGAGAGGAAGCACGGCCGCGGGCGCUUAAAUGCGUGCCCGUCGCCCACUAGCGGUCGGGAGGCCACACAUCGCUUCUCUGCCCAGGGAAUUUAAAAGGGAGCCCCUCCCUUCGGGGCGAGCGACCGCUCCCACCGGGACUGCUUCCGGUGGGAGGCGGCAGGACUUGAGUCCCCAGACACACGGUUGGUGUCAACCCUGGAACUCCGAGGGAGUCACCCAGGAAUCUCUGCAAAGUUCCGUGCCGGGCCCUACCCCAGACUUUCUGAUUUAAUUCUUGUGGAGUGAGGCCCAGCAUUGGAUAAGACUUCACACGUGAUUCCAAAGUGUCAGUGAAGAGUUGAAAACCAAAGUCAGCAGAAGGGAGCAGUUUGGAAAAGGACACAUAUUCUGAAGCUCUGGUGAAUAUGUGAAUGAAAGUGAUAAAAAAACAAUUUGAGAUUACAGUAAGACUCAUGUUCUUCAAUAAUUUAAUUUUUAAAAAACUUUUACCAUUGGGCACUCCUUCUUUUGAACACAAUUCAACAGCAUUCUGCGUUCUCCAAAGGAUUUCAGUAGCUAAACCCAGAGGACAGUCGGCUCAAAGGGCCCAGGACAGCCCUCAGAGGUUUCAUCAAUCAAAUCUCAAACACUAGUGAGGAGCACCACAGAUUUAUGGAGGAAUGACUUAUUCUGGCAGAGGUUCUGGUGUUCAGGCAAAGAGAACCUCUCCAGGGCCUGGAUUCCAGAUUAGGAACCAGAGAAUCUGUAGGAGUCCAAACGAGCAGCCAUGGUGUAACAUAAUGAUUACUAACAGGCUUGGCAUCAGACAAACCUGCAUCUGAAUCUGGGUUCUAUCACUUCCUGACUGCA